This 41-nucleotide small RNA is filed under the name Arabidopsis thaliana (thale cress). RNAcentral describes it as "ATSL052940". Lineage: Eukaryota; Viridiplantae; Streptophyta; Magnoliopsida; Brassicales; Brassicaceae. The record is from RNAcentral.
GGUUUCUGAUUCCACAGGAAGCGGAGAUGAUGAAGAACAAU